This 26-nucleotide unclassified non-coding RNA is filed under the name Mus musculus (house mouse). Its description in RNAcentral is "oocyte_clustered_small_RNA9092". The record is from RNAcentral. Lineage: Eukaryota; Metazoa; Chordata; Mammalia; Rodentia; Muridae.
UGCAGCCCAUGCAGAUUCUAAACCGG